This 497-nucleotide ribosomal RNA is filed under the name uncultured bacterium. RNAcentral describes it as "partial 16S ribosomal RNA". It matches the Rfam family "Bacterial small subunit ribosomal RNA", at positions 30 to 523 of the family's 1533-position model. The record is from RNAcentral.
AUUGAACGCUGGCGGCAUGCCUUACACAUGCAAGUCGAACGGUAACAGGUCUUCGGAUGCUGACGAGUGGCGAACGGGUGAGUAAUACAUCGGAACGUGCCUAGGAGUGGGGAUAACUACUCGAAAGAGUGGCUAAUACCGCAUGAGAUCUACGGAUGAAAGCAGGGGAUCGAAAGACCCUGUGCUACUAGAGCGGCGCGUGGAAGAUUAGGUAGUUGGUGGGAUAAAGGCUGAGCAAGCCGACGAUCUGUAGCUGGUCUGAGAGGACGAUCAGCCACACUGGGACUGAGACACGGCCCAGACUCCUACGGGAGGCAGCAGUGGGGAAUUUUGGACAAUGGGCGAAAGCCUGAUCCAGCAAUGCCGCGUGCAGGAUGAAGGCCUUCGGGUUGUAAACUGCUUUUGUACGGAACGAAAAGCCCCGGGUUAAUACCCUGGGGUCAUGACGGUACCGUAAGAAUAAGCACCGGCUAACUACGUGCCAGCAGCCGCCGUAA